UGGGGGAUAUUGCACAAUGGGCGAAAGCCUGAUGCAGCGACGCCGCGUGGGGGAUGAAGGCUUUCGGGUUGUAAACCUCUUUCGCUAUCGAACAAGGCCCGCUUAGGGUGGGUUGAGGGUAGGUGGAGAAGAAGCGCCGGCUAACUACGUGCCAGCAGCCGCGGUAAUACGUAGGGCGCGAGCGUUGCCCGGAAUUAUUGGGCGUAAAGGGCUUGUAGGCGGCUUGUUGCGCCUGCUGUGAAAACGCGGGGCUUAACUUCGCGCGUGCAGUGGGUACGGGCAGGCUUGAGUGUGGUAGGGGUGACUGGAAUUCCAGGUGUAGCGGUGGAAUGCGCAGAUAUCUGGAGGAACACCGAUGGCGAAGGCAGGUCCCUGGGCCAUUACUGACGCUGAGGAGCGAAAGCAUGGGUAGCGAACAGG
Molecule: ribosomal RNA, 420 nt
Filed under: bacterium
Lineage: Bacteria
Description: partial 16S ribosomal RNA
Rfam family: Bacterial small subunit ribosomal RNA
Source: RNAcentral